This 521-nucleotide ribosomal RNA is filed under the name Clostridioides difficile. RNAcentral describes it as "bacterial SSU rRNA". It matches the Rfam family "Bacterial small subunit ribosomal RNA", at positions 1018 to 1533 of the family's 1533-position model. Lineage: Bacteria; Bacillati; Bacillota; Clostridia; Peptostreptococcales; Peptostreptococcaceae. The record is from RNAcentral.
UUCGGGGACAUUGGUGACAGGUGGUGCAUGGUUGUCGUCAGCUCGUGUCGUGAGAUGUUGGGUUAAGUCCCGCAACGAGCGCAACCCUUGUCUUUAGUUGCCAUCAUUAAGUUGGGCACUCUAGAGAGACUGCCAGGGAUAACCUGGAGGAAGGUGGGGAUGACGUCAAAUCAUCAUGCCCCUUAUGCUUAGGGCUACACACGUGCUACAAUGGGUAGUACAGAGGGUUGCCAAGCCGUAAGGUGGAGCUAAUCCCUUAAAGCUACUCUCAGUUCGGAUUGUAGGCUGAAACUCGCCUACAUGAAGCUGGAGUUACUAGUAAUCGCAGAUCAGAAUGCUGCGGUGAAUGCGUUCCCGGGUCUUGUACACACCGCCCGUCACACCACGGGAGUUGGAGACGCCCGAAGCCGAUUAUCUAACCUUUUGGAAGAAGUCGUCGAAGGUGGAAUCAAUAACGGGGGUGAAGUCGUAACAAGGUAGCCGUAUCGGAAGGUGCGGCUGGAUCACCUCCUUUCUAAGGA